GAAAUGCGAUAAGUAGUGUGAAUUGCAGAAUUCAGUGAAUCAUCGAAUCUUUGAACGCACAUUGCGCCCCUUGGUAUUCCAUGGGGCAUGCCUGUUCGAGCGUCAUUUGUACCCUCAAGCUCUGCUUGGUGUUGGGUGUUUGUCCCGUCUCCGCGCGUGGACUCGCCCCAAAGUGAUUGGCAGCCGGCGUACUGGUCCCGGAGCGCAGCACAUGUCGCGCAAACGAGUGCCUUGGUACGGCGGCGUCCAUAAGCCCCUCUCUCACGCUCUUGACCUCGGAUCAGCUAGGGAUACCCGCUGAACUCAAGC
Molecule: unclassified non-coding RNA, 309 nt
Filed under: plant metagenome
Description: partial contains 5.8S ribosomal RNA, internal transcribed spacer 2, and large subunit ribosomal RNA
Rfam family: 5.8S ribosomal RNA (bases 1-105)
Source: RNAcentral